RNAcentral lists this non-coding RNA (21 nucleotides) under Caenorhabditis elegans. The record is from RNAcentral. Lineage: Eukaryota; Metazoa; Nematoda; Chromadorea; Rhabditida; Rhabditidae.
UGACAAUUGUAUUUUUCCAAC